RNAcentral lists this long non-coding RNA (1124 nucleotides) under Monodelphis domestica (gray short-tailed opossum). RNAcentral describes it as "lncRNA (ENSMODG00000046687.1)". Lineage: Eukaryota; Metazoa; Chordata; Mammalia; Didelphimorphia; Didelphidae. The record is from RNAcentral.
UCUUCAAUACGAGCAAUAGUAUUCACAGCCGAUUUUUUGAGAGAACUCUGGCGUUUCUUGUCGUCUGCUGUGGCCAUUCCGUGCACUUCUUUCUGAGAGCUGUGCCCUUCCCUCCUAUCUGGACCUGAGCCUGAAGCUUGGCUAAUUUUUCUUAUUUAAAGCUUGGUAGUUCUGAAGCCCAGGGGUUGGGGUGGGGGUGGGGUCUCCAACAGCCACACGUGGCGGAAGCAAAAUGGCGGUCGUAGCAGAAGCAGAGAAGGACUACUACAGGAGAUUUUUGAGCAGAGGAGUGGCAUAGCCAGACUUGUGCCUUAGCAGUAGUAAUUUGGUUGCUGUACAGGGAAUCCACUGGAGAAAGGAUGAAAGGUUAAGAAAUCUAUUGUUACAAACAAAUUUAGUUACCCAGGAUAAGAAUCAAAUCAGUAAAUCAAGGAUGGAAGCAGGAACUUUGCAGCAAAUAUCUGUAAUAUUCGAUACAAAGAGAAGGGAUUGGCACGUCUUCACAUGGAUGCAGGAGUCAGGAAUGGAGAAUUCUGUUCUGCAUCUGAUUCUUUUUUUUCAAUGCUAAAAUAAUCAAUACGCUUAUUUUUAUAUGUCACAAUACAAAUAUAAGCUGCAUUUCUGCCCCACUCUUCCUUUUUAAAUUGUUUCUUUGACAGGAAGUGGGAAGUCUUCUUACAUGUUUGGAAACCACCUCUGGGGCAGUUAGCAAAAAACAAAACACAAAAACUGGCAAGCUAUCAACAAUCAUGACAGAAUGCUCCAACUCUCUAAAAAGAGAAAUGCAAAUUAAAACCCUGAAGCUUUACACAAUUUUGAGAAAGAUGACAUGAGGAAAAUGGUCAGUGUUGGAGGGACUGUGGAAAGAUAGGCACACCAAUGAACUUUUGGUGGAGCUAUGAAUAUGACAAUUCUGAAAAAUGAUUUGGAAUUACUCUAAAAAGUCACUAAAACACACAUCUUUGACUCAGUGAUAUCACUAUUGGCAUAUAAUCCAAGAAGGGCGAAGAUAGUGGGAAAGGUCCCAUAUAUACAAAAAUGUCAAUAGUAGCACUUUUUAUAGUAGCAAAGAACUGCAAACCAACAAUACCCACCAAUUGAGAAACCGACCAACUGGAAGAGGG